CCAUGGCCACGAGGGCAGCACAGAUCACACGCUUCCUCCUAUAAAGUGGCCGCGACCCUAGGGUUUUCCCCCUCCCCCUGUCUUCCUCCUCAGCGCCAACGCCAGCCCACAACACCACACCUCGCCCCUGCAUCGUUUGGUCGUGCCAUGGAGAACUCCUGCCGGAGCUUGUAGCAGGAUUUCCUUCCUCCAAUCCGUGCGUCUUCUUCUUCGCCUGUAGCCUCGGAUCUGAAGGUUCUCCGGAGUUUCCCACCUCUCCAUCACCUCCUUGCUGGUUCCCCAUUGCUAUCUUCAUGUCCUAGGUAGGGGAGGUACA
RNAcentral lists this long non-coding RNA (316 nucleotides) under Hordeum vulgare. Its description in RNAcentral is "long non-coding RNA (HVUL_LNC004251)". Lineage: Eukaryota; Viridiplantae; Streptophyta; Magnoliopsida; Poales; Poaceae. The record is from RNAcentral.